GCCGAAGUGGCGGAAUUGGCAGACGCGCUAGGUUCAGGACCUAGUGUCCGCAAGGAUGUCGGGGUUCGAAUCCCCGCUUCGGCA
This 84-nucleotide transfer RNA is filed under the name Candidatus Scalindua arabica. Its description in RNAcentral is "tRNA-Leu". It matches the Rfam family "tRNA". Rfam says of the family: Transfer RNA (tRNA) molecules are approximately 80 nucleotides in length. Their secondary structure includes four short double-helical elements and three loops (D, anti-codon, and T loops). The record is from RNAcentral. RNAcentral also lists the same sequence under 2 other names. Lineage: Bacteria; Pseudomonadati; Planctomycetota; Candidatus Brocadiia; Candidatus Brocadiales; Candidatus Scalinduaceae.